RNAcentral lists this long non-coding RNA (341 nucleotides) under Carica papaya (papaya). Its description in RNAcentral is "long non-coding RNA (CPAP_LNC001556)". Lineage: Eukaryota; Viridiplantae; Streptophyta; Magnoliopsida; Brassicales; Caricaceae. The record is from RNAcentral.
AAUAUAUUCCAUGAGUAAAAACCUCAAAAGGGUUUAUAUAUUUUUAGUGGUAGUAGAUCGAUUAGGUUUUUUCUCGAGAAUUUUAGUCCAACGAAUGACUUCAUUCACGUUCAAGAAGUAAAAGAUAGAAGAGAUGAAGUUGAUGUUAUGCUCAAUUUGAGGCUUCAAUUUCUUCCCUUUAAUUUUUUUCAAAAAGGAAAAAGCCAGCCCAAUAUUUUUUCAAGUAUCAUCAAUAAAACCCAUAAGAAUUAUGGGCUCUCUGUAGUUUGCCAAUUGGAACAGUAACCCAAGGCCCAUAUGUUCACUACCCAAAAACAUUAUGAUGUGAGAGACGAUGAUGA